UUGGACAAUGGGCGAAAGCCUGAUCCAGCAAUGCCGCGUGUGUGAAGAAGGCCUUCGGGUUGUAAAGCACUUUUGUCCGGAAAGAAAUCCUUGGCUCUAAUACAGUCGGGGGAUGACGGUACCGGAAGAAUAAGCACCGGCUAACUACGUGCCAGCAGCCGCGGUAAUACGUAGGGUGCGAGCGUUAAUCGGAAUUACUGGGCGUAAAGCGUGCGCAGGCGGUUUGCUAAGACCGAUGUGAAAUCCCCGGGCUCAACCUGGGAACUGCAUUGGUGACUGGCAGGCUAGAGUAUGGCAGAGGGGGGUAGAAUUCCACGUGUAGCAGUGAAAUGCGUAGAGAUGUGGAGGAAUACCGAUGGCGAAGGCAGCCCCCUGGGCCAAUACUGACGCUCAUGCACGAAAGCGUGGGGAGCAAACAGGAUUAGAUACCCUGGUAGUCCACGCCCUAAACGAUGUCAACUAGUUGUUGGGGAUUCAUUUCCUUAGUAA
This 489-nucleotide ribosomal RNA is filed under the name uncultured Burkholderia sp. RNAcentral's name for it is "bacterial SSU rRNA". It matches the Rfam family "Bacterial small subunit ribosomal RNA", at positions 364 to 846 of the family's 1533-position model. The record is from RNAcentral. Lineage: Bacteria; Pseudomonadati; Pseudomonadota; Betaproteobacteria; Burkholderiales; Burkholderiaceae.